CAUCGCAAUGUGCCGUUCUGGCGCAUAGUAUGUAUGAAAAAUUUCAGUUUGGCGUGUGCGUUGUAUUUUAUUUUAGACAAGACUUGACGGCUAUUUAAAAAACUCCAUGGCUUUCUAUUGGAUACCGCUACAUCGUUGGUUCGGAUUUUCGUAAACAUCGUAUACGAAACAAGACUUAUUUACAGUCUAAUGGGAGUAAAAUAGAUGUUUAUAAGAACUUAUUAAACGAGGCUUACGUUAAAAAAUAAGUAUUUAAUUUUGUUUUUGAUCGAAGCCGUGAUACUUCAGAACCAUGGAAGAGAAGGUGGAUAGUGAUCAAAGUUUCAGUGAAGAGAGUAGCAGUAGUUCUUCAGAUAGUUCUAGCGAAAGUUCUGAGAGUGAUGAGGAGAUUAUGGAACAAGUUCGCAUAUUAGGUCAUACAUUGGAACUUCCUCAAGACCUCUGUGAAGACCCUGCCUUAUUUAAAGAAUUCUUCUCCAUGAAAACCUGGGACAGUUUGGCUGACAAACACAAAGAUCAGCUUAAAGAGUUAUUGCCAAAAUUUGAAGAAAACAAUGAAGAGGAGAAGCAAACAACCCUGAAAAUGCUUUUUAAUCAUGAACCAUUUCAUUUUACAUCUCCUUUAACUUGUUUCUUUAAGAAUUUAAGGCAAGGUAAUUAUAGGCCUGAUAUUGCAAGGAUGAGAAAGUUUCUGACAAAAGCUAGAGCAAAACAACAAAGGCAUAAGAUAAAGUCAUAUUAUGCAAAGUUGUUGCCUGAAGUACUCAUAUCCAGAGAACGAUUAUUAGCAGUGGCUAAGUCUUCACCACCAGGCGUAAUUCCACCUAUACCAUUACUUCCACCUAAGCCAUCAUCUAAAAACAGUUACAAACCAUUGUAUGUAAGAGCAAGACACAGGUACUUUGAGGAGUUAACAGCUAUAUGGAGCGAAGUUGGCUGUCAAGGGUCAGAUGAUGAAAACUAUCCAGAAGGCCCACCUGAACAUUUCUCAAAGAGGAGGAAACGAAAUAAUGCAGUCCAAACACAGAGUGGUGAUUCCAAUGUAUCUGGUACAUUGGGUAGUGGGGAACUGGUCCUUCCAUCUUUAGCAUGUUUAAAAAAUGUUUUGUCCACACAUCGAGCAAGGCGACAACAUAGGGAGACUCAUCCAGAACUCAAUACCACAGGUAUAACAUUAGAUGAUAUUAAACAAAGAGUGUCUUUAAUGAAUGGAGCAAAGAAACUAAUGUUUGGUGGUCCUAAAGCAGAAAUACCAAUUCAAAAAGUUAGAAAAGGCAUAAAAAGAGAGCAGCAUAGGGGUAAAGAUUUUAAACAACCCCAAAAAAAAACAAAAGAUGAUGAAAAUAGUGAAAAUAAACUUCUACCACAUAUAAAGAUAAAGUGUGAGCAAGAGGAGUCUGAUUCAGAAAGUUCAUUCUUUGAACAAACAAGCCCCAGGCAUAAGAAAGUUAUGGACCAUGUCGAUAUAAAGCAAGAAGUUGAUAGUGAAAAUCAAAACUCGAGAUUUGAUCUGUAUGAGAAAACUAUUAAAAAGGAACCACAAGAUUCACAAAGCAAUUCAAAGACAAAUCAGCCUGUACCAAUUAAGUUGGAAGAUUUGGAUGGCAUAGUUAAUUCUUCUAUAGACAUGAUGGCGCUCCCAGUGGAGCUUGCCGACGAGUCCAUGGAUUCUCCGAAGAGUCCAGACGAAGCCCUCACAGAGACCACGCAUGCGAACUUUCUGUCCUUGGUCCGGGCAUUGUUCCCCGCUAAGUCAGCUCAUCGGGCCUCUAAAAGGGAGCUUCAGGCACGGUGUUCGGCAGUUAUGAGGUCGCCCAUUGCUCCGCUUAAUACUUGGUAUAAUUUAUCAGAUGACUGGUGUGUAGAGUUGAAUUCAGCGCUGGAUUUCUUGGCCGGAGAGCGGGGACCACAUCCAGAUGACUUUGUGCCAUAUCUCCAGUUCAUACCAGAUACUCAAAUGUAUCAAUGGAUAGGGGCGGGUCGCGAUUGUGAUGCGAUUCUCAAUCGAUUGUGCGAGAGAUGGAUGAGAGCCGCGACGCCUACUCCUCAGCAACCAGAUGCACCGCCCCCACCCAGGUAUCCAACAAAUUGGAUAGUGCGACAGCCUACGAAUACGGAAAUAGCCGAAUUUAGAUCUCAAGAGCGACGCAGAUUUGCGUCUGCAUCUAAACCGUUUACAUAUCUACAAUAUGGAUAUAGGUCAGUAGUAGGCCCGGCGAGUGGCGUACGUGCUAGCGCGGGGGGGGCGUGUACGUCUCUAGUGACGCCUCAGCGACCUCGCGCUGCGGGAUUUUUAGCUCUUCUGAGGGACGCAUUAGCCAGACUACCUAAUGGAGAGGGUACACGCCGGGACUUACUCAUGAUGCUUAAGAUGUCCCAAUGGAUUAUUCCAUGUACCGAUCAAGCGCUAUCGUCAGCUAUUUCGACGGCAUUGGACCGACUCGUUGCAAUAAAAAGGGAUCCCAUAGUGAAAUACGACCAGAGGACCGCUAUUUGGACGUACUUGCAUAGAAAUAGAACUGAAGAAGAUUGGCUGAAAAGCAGUAAUGCUCGAAAUCGGGCGAUCAAGUCAAUUGCGGCAGAUUCCUCGCCAUCGCCAAAGACGCACCUCAAUGUCAACAAUAUGGAAGUCGAAGUAGGAAGCGGCGAUGAUAUACAUUUAGAUGGUUCAGACACUGAUGUGGAUGUAGAUGAUAGUGGUUCUUCAGCCAAUCUCUGCCAAUUAUCAUCAGCACAACUACUCAUGCAGGCCACUCAGGCCCAAACGAAACCCAAAACGCCUUCACCUAAAGCUAAACCAAGUCCUAAACCAAAAAUAAUCAAACAAAUAUCACCAAAAGCUCUUAAAAUAAAUCAGAUUAAACAAAAGAGUCUUUUAGCGCAAAAGUUGAAACAUUCAAAAGUUAUCAAGCCAAAUCCUAAAUCGCCGAAGCCUCCGAUUCAAUCACCUAAAAGUUUAACAUCCCCUAAACCUACAGCGUCCCCUAAACCGGGCGUGCCGUCCCCUAAACCGAGUGCCGCGUCCCCUAAACCUAGUGUUGCGUCCCCCAAACCUAGCGUCGCCUCUCCUAAACCUAGUGUGGCCUCCCCUAAACCGAGUGUUUCAUCUCCUAAACCAAUUUCCUCACCUAAGCCAAUACAAAAGCCGCAAAGUAAAAGCAUGUUAUCAAAUGAGUUGAAUGCAGCACGGACGCCUAUUGUCAAGCAAAAGUCUAUAUCCAAAAUAGAGACUUCACAGAUUAUGACACCCCCUACUUCUUCGACUCUGCCGUCUUCAAUUUCCGUGCCGACAUUAAUACAGACCAAUGUAACGACGUCUCUGCAGAACGCUAUUAUACAGAAUCCAAAGGCCCAAGUGACCCGUUCGUUGCUCAUUAGGCCACCGGUGGUGCACACCACGGCAACUGUGACUGCGGUCACUGUAUGUACACCUUCCACUCAGGUGGUUUCGAGUGCGCGUCGAGGCGUAGUCCGAGUAUUGAGUCCGGCCACAGCUGCGGGGAAGUCCCUCAUAUCACCACGAGCUCUUAUGCCACAACCAGCGACUACAACAGCAAAGAAGCGACCAUCGCUGCCUUCGACGGCCGUCGCAACGACCGUACAGAGUACAACAGUCACCAAUGUCGUUAGUAGUGUGACUACUCCUGUGACGUCAUCAAUUACGACUCGUACUGUCCAAUUACCAGGAGGUCGGACCGUCCAAUUGUCAAACCAAACUGUCCAAUUAGCAGGCGGACAGGCUGUCCAAUUAUCUGGCCACACCCUUCAACUGUCUUCCCUUCAAUUACCAACACAUAGCGUUCGUUUACCAAGCGGUCAAACUGUCCAAUUGGCUUCCCCACAAACAGUUCAAGCGAUACGAGCGGUUAAUCAAAAGAAUCAAAAUCCCCGCGCCCAAACGCCAACCGUCCGGCCGACAGUCCAAAUACCGGUGUCUUCGGUACAAUUGGCGGGACAAACUGUGCAAAUAGGCGGGCAGACUGUCCAAUUGGGCCAAAGCGUACAGUUAACCGGACACACGGUUAAGCUCCCGAGUGGGCAGAGCGUACAAGUCGCUAGUCAAAAUGUGCUUCCAACCCAAAGUGUCCAAUUGCCGAGCGGACAAACGGUACAGUUGGGUGGAAAUGUCCAGUCGAUGCUAAGCGGUCAAAACAUUCAAUUGUCCAAUCAAUUAUCGACACAACUCGGGGCCCAAACAGUACAGUUAGGUAAUCAAAUACAGUUGAGCGGCCAGACAGUUCAGUUGCCGAGCGGUCAAACGUUGCAACUGAGUGGCCAAACGGUCCAACUGUCCAGUGGCCAAACGUUACAGCUGGCCAGCGGGCAAACGCUACAGUUGAAUCAAACGCCCAAAUCCAUAGCUCAAGUGAGGACUCAAGCUACGGGUGACAAACCGUCACAGCCGAUAGUUGCUAAACUAUUAACCAAUGCACAGGGCCAAAUGAUAUCCUUAGAGGGAGUAAUGAAUCGGAAUAUGAGCGGGGUGGUGGGAGUGGGAAGUGGGCGCGGUCGGGGCGUGAGAGUAUUAUCUCCUACCACACGUCUCACAAGACCAGUUUUGUUGACCUCCGGGAAGCCAUUGCAUAAUAUUAUAUUACAGAGUGACGGCAACGCAAUACGGGUGCCUGUCAGUAGCGGUGCGGCAACGUCGCAGACAAUUGUUAUUAGUAAUAUAGGUGCUCAAUCAGCAAAUACAACAACGACUACGGCUCCGGUUCUGAAAUUGCAGCAGGUGAAUCCAAUACAACAAGUUAAACUAGCGCAAGGAAUAAAAAUUCAACAGGGCGCUGUAGCAAACGCAUCAGUGGCGACAUCCAGCGGCAUUCGAAGUGUACUAAUGGAUGGACAGCAUUUGAAACUCGUUGGCGGGAGACAUGUUUUGGCGAGACUUUUGAGACCUGCGAACCCGCAGCCGUGAUAGUGCUUUAGUUUUUGGAGGUUUUCGAAAAAUAUUGAUAAGAUAAAAAUCCAAUUGGAGAAUGAAAAACAAAAGCCAUCGUUCUCAUAAACAAAAGACAAUCGCGGUCUAAAUAAAUAUGGAAAAAACAAAUCACGUGGUUAGACGUAGGGGUUUGCAUUAUGCCUGGUCCGUUAUGACGUCAUUAAGAAAAUACAUUAUGUUUAUUUGGAUUUGUAGUUUAGUUGUUGAAGUAGUGGUUUACAUAAGGAUUGUAAGAACAAUUUCUGAUGUUCAAUUGUGCAUAACAGUUACUAUGGAGUCGUUUCUUCAUGUCUUUUAGUUGGAGCAGUGAUUUAAUAUAAUUUAAAAAAAAAACUUUUUUAUAUGCGCGUAAUUAUAGUUGAAUUAAAUUAGACUGAAUCUUAUGCGUAAAAAGGUUUUUUUAGAUUUUAUUAUAUUCACUGAUCCUAAUAAAACGUCCAAUAGUAAUAAACGGAAGACAAAUGAAGAAUAAAAUGCCGAAUUACGGAUGACGUCUUGUAUUUUCAGACUGAUAUUCUUAUUCUUAUGCACAAAGCUAAAUGGAAAUGUUUUGUCUCUUUCAUAGUCAAUAAGCCACAAGAGUGACAAGGACAAAACUAUAGCUAUUGGACUAUAUCAACCUCCUGAUUGUAUAUACCUUGGUACUCUGUAACAGCCGAUCUGUUGGGUCUUGAAUCGGAGCUUACGUCCGGGUCGUGAUAGCUAUCGUUGUUGGAAGGGCCGUGCUGCAAUUGAAAUUGAAUACACCUUCAGUCUUAUAGGCGAUAAUUAUUACAUUUAGUUCUGUUAAAUCAAUUUUUAUACGUAAGUAAUAAUAAAAUGUAUCUCUUGAAAUGUAUUACUCAUAUACAAUAGGCGUAUUCUACGUUUCUCAACUUUUUCGGUUUUGUGUAUUUAUACGGGCCUUAGAUACCUUUGUAUGAAGUUCUAGAUGCUAAAUUGGUGUUUUACGCACACGUGGCCGUACGUACGUGCAACGUACAUAGUGGGCUAGAUGAAUGUUAAUAUUAUUUUAGGAGUCAACCAAUGCUGUGCUUAUUUUUCCUGCAAAAGGAAUGUUUAUGACUUUGACAUAUGACUUUUAGUAGAUCCUAUUUUUAUUGUAAUUGUAGUGGCGCUGUUCCAGCUAUAAUUUAAACAUUAUUUACAGGUCUAUUUUUGAUUUGACGCCAAAUUAAUAGUUGGUCAUUAUUUUGAAGAUGCGAAACGGAACGUGUUUUAAGGAAUAAUUUAUUUUCACCCGCUUUUUACGCUUACAAUUUAAUAUUGUAUAAU
Pieris brassicae (large cabbage white) is the source of this 6217-nucleotide RNA transcript. It is a transcript of the gene named nuclear factor related to kappa-B-binding protein-like, with no coding region annotated. The record is from RefSeq and is a predicted model, not a curated record. The transcript is spliced from 24 exons. Lineage: Eukaryota; Metazoa; Arthropoda; Insecta; Lepidoptera; Pieridae.